This is a non-coding RNA of Nicotiana tabacum (common tobacco), 1616 nucleotides long. The record is from RefSeq and is a predicted model, not a curated record. NCBI's taxonomy places the organism in Eukaryota, Viridiplantae, Streptophyta, Magnoliopsida, Solanales, Solanaceae.
CUAUCUUUUACAUCGUAUAAAGUAUGAUUAUCAACGUGCUUCCGUGAUGACUACUUUCAACAUUUGUUUUUCUUUGUGUGCAAAUUUAAACUACUAAGCAGAACUUAGAGCAAAAUAACUACUCUUAGGUGUACAAACAUCAAAUGCUUAUAUGUAAUAUGUCCGAAAAGAUUUUACAACAAACAAGGUCAGUCUUUGACUUUUGGAUAAUCAAAGAGCAAGUUUGCAAUAGUGAAAUAAUCUAAAAGGUUCAACUGACUAUUAUUUUUUGGUUUAAUCACCGGUGAAAGGUGUUUUGCUACUGUUUUGGGAUGCUUUGGAGCUACUUUUUAUGCUGUUACCGGAUGCAGUUGAAGCCUUUUUUGCUGCUGCUUCUUGGAUUUUAUUACAGACACCUUUACUAUUAUUCUGGAUGCGGGUGAAACUACUUUUGCUGUUAAUAUACAAUGUCCUCUUAUCUAUAAAAACUUACGUGUCUUUCACAGAAUAAUAAUAGCCACCGACUGCAUUACAUAUUUGAUCUUUUCAUCGUCGCCCAAAAUUUCCUUUCAGCUUUGUCCUCCCCUCUAGCUUUCUCUGUUCAAUUAUCUUCUCCGCUGGGUCUCGCGGUGUUCAGUUAGUGUUAUUUCUCUGCUAUUUGCUUUUGCUUGUUCUUGGUUUCCAUUGUUUGUUGAUCUGGAUUUUUCUGCUUGUUUUAUCCUUUGUUUGUUCUGUGUUUGGUCUUCUGUUUCUUCUCCGUUACCGGCAUUCAAUUUUUCUUUAAAUUUAUGUACUCAAGAAGCCCAGCACCUCAGUACCGUGCCAUAAAGUAACAUUGAUAGCGGCAUGCAAUUCCAAUAUUUUGAUUCGUUGUGCGUUUGUACAUUUUUGGGUCCUUUCAAUUUAAUAUGUAAUAUUUUUUUUGAUAAUUGUUGAAUCCAAAUCUGUUCUUUUUGGUCUUUCUUCAUGUUGUCUUUGUGGGCUCUUCGCAUACAUGUUAUUAUUUGUUCAAAUGCCUGAAAUGGAGUUAUAUGCAGAAGUACAGACACUUUGCGUCACUAUUUACUCAAUUUCGGCUCCUCACUCAUUUUUUUGCUAAGUUAUUGGAUGAUAGGUAACACCUCUAAUGUGCUUCGGUUGCCUGAAGUAUCAAGAUAGUUGGUGCUCUCUUUUUCUGUUGACCAGUCCUUCCGGAGCAGUCUUUCUUGGUUACUCAGAGAAAUAUUGCAUGCCCAUAGGGCUAUGCUAAUGUUCUUGGGCUUUGAAUCCAGAACUGUUAGAGCGGACGGGUCUCUUUCAGUUGGUAUCUUUCGUUUAUGUGUUGUUGCUCGACUCGGUUAACAUAUGAUGCUACCCUUAGCUAUUGAUGUUAUUGAAGUCGUAUGCUUAAGCUUUUGCUAAUUUAGGAGAUCUAAAUUAUCUCUGUUUUUUUAAUGGUUUCUCUGCCACUGUGAUUUAUUUUUCUGUUCUUCGUUUUGGUCUUCUUAUUGCCUUUUUUUCCCUUCUAUAUGGUUUCUGUAUCUUGGUUUUUAAUUCUUUGGUCGUGAUUAUAUUUUGAUGUCGUAGUAAUAGUAAAAUUUGUAAAUUGACAGACUUUUAUUGGUGAAAUGAACGGUAUAAACUUUUCUGUUGUUCAA